RNAcentral lists this long non-coding RNA (761 nucleotides) under Fragaria vesca (wild strawberry). Its description in RNAcentral is "long non-coding RNA (FVES_LNC003405)". Lineage: Eukaryota; Viridiplantae; Streptophyta; Magnoliopsida; Rosales; Rosaceae. The record is from RNAcentral.
ACAGAAGGGUUCUUUUGGAGGUGCUGGCCUCAAGAAGAGUGGAAAGAAAUGAGAGGGGUUUUCGGUACCCAAAGUUGGGAUGUGAUAUAAUAUUAUCUGUGUUGAAGUCUUUCAAUUUAUGGGAUGGUCUAAUUUCUAGCUGAAUGUGCUCCUAACGCUCAUAUGAGUGUCAGUGUAACAUUAAGACUAAAUAAACUGAAGUGUCCUUCUUAAUUAUCUUGUUAUGUAUGGAGCAAGUUCCCCCUAUGAGCAAAUGAGAAUGAUAAAUGUGCUACUUCGUUCUUUGGAGUUCCUCUUGUGAGCAAAUGAGAAUGAUAAAUGUGCUGCCUUGUAUGUGCUACAAUGAUUGAAUCACUGUGGUUUACAACUUUGCAGGAAUCAAUCUUCACAUCUGUGUUCGAUGAAGGUUUUGGAACAUUAAAAUCAACUUCAAGCUCGUGUAGCCCUUUAUUACAUUUAAGCCGGUACAAGAACAAAGACAUCUGUGCUUGAGCUUUACCUUUCUCUUCCCACUUUAAUCUUUCUCGACCUUCUCAUUCAUUGUAUGCCAAGAUUCUGCAAUCUUUCUAAGUUGCACGUGAACGCUUAUUCUACGUUGUGUCAUUCUACUCCAAUGAAUCUUCCAGUGCUGAUGAAAGUGUUGGAAGUAAAUGAUAUAUAUUCUCAUUGAUCUGCUGCGCUAGUGAACUGUGAAAUUCAAUUUGGCAGUCAGACUACUAUAAUUCUCCACUUAAAUUUGUUAUAGCUUUCUCAGUUAUGUG